This 253-nucleotide ribosomal RNA is filed under the name uncultured bacterium. RNAcentral's name for it is "partial 16S ribosomal RNA". It matches the Rfam family "Bacterial small subunit ribosomal RNA", at positions 524 to 776 of the family's 1533-position model. The record is from RNAcentral.
UACAGAGGGUGCGAGCGUUAUGCGGAAUCACUGGGCUUAAAGCGUGUGUAGGUGGAUCGUUAAGUACCUUGUGAAAUCCCACGGCUUAACCGUGGAACUGCUUGGUAUACUGGCGGUCUUGAGCCAGCUAGGGGCUACCGGAACAAAUGGUGGAGCGGUGAAAUGCGUAGAUAUCAUUUGGAACGCCAAUGGUGAAAACAGGUGGCUGGGGCUGUACUGACACUGAGACACGAAAGCCAGGGGAGCAAACGGG